GGAGUUAGCUCAGCUGGGAGAGCGCUUGCAUGGCAUGCAAGAGGUCAGCGGUUCGAUCCCGCUAGGGUCCA
Molecule: transfer RNA, 71 nt
Filed under: Cohnella nanjingensis
Lineage: Bacteria; Bacillati; Bacillota; Bacilli; Caryophanales; Paenibacillaceae
Rfam family: tRNA
About the family: Transfer RNA (tRNA) molecules are approximately 80 nucleotides in length. Their secondary structure includes four short double-helical elements and three loops (D, anti-codon, and T loops).
Source: Rfam by way of RNAcentral